This is a long non-coding RNA of Aethalodelphis obliquidens (Pacific white-sided dolphin), 1469 nucleotides long. RefSeq lists it as uncharacterized. The transcript has 2 exons. Lineage: Eukaryota; Metazoa; Chordata; Mammalia; Artiodactyla; Delphinidae. The record is from RefSeq and is a predicted model, not a curated record.
ACUUGAGGUUUCUAAGUUCCUGCCUUUGGGCUGUUAUGGGACUGCCCCUCCGUCGGGAAGCUGGCACAGUCCGACCCUCCGCCCGUCGCCCAGGGCGAAUGGGAGCGGAAGCCUGGCACACCUAGGGUCCCGCCCCCAGCCAGGGUCCCGCCCCGUGCGAUGGCCCCGCCCCCAACCCGGGUCCGGCUCCACGCGGCGCCCCCGCCCCGCCCUCCCGCCACCCCCCUCCCAUCCCUCAGACGUCAAGCGUGAGCUGCGGAGAGCCGUGCCGGGACGGCCUGGUGGCGCUCCAGGGACGAGCAGCUUUGUGCUGUCCGUUCACUCCGACCAAACACUGAUGGACCCUCUGCUCGGGCUCCGCCAGGCGCUGAGCACAGCGAGGACGAUUCCCCAGUCCCGUGUCCCAUCUUGUCCAGACACAAUAAACAAUGAACGUUGCGAAUCACUGCGCCGCGUGGUGUGUGAGAAGCUGAUUCGUGCUCUGAUAAAAAGGGCAGAGUCCGGGGCUCCGGAGGCAGGAGGACUGGCCAGUGGUAGUUAGCGGGUGAGACGUGAUGGCGGAGGGAGCAGCCGUGGGGAGAGCUCGGAGAAGCUGCCGGGACCACAGAAGGGAGGCCCGCGAAGUGGGCCCGGGCGGGGAGCGGCACGGGAGGGUCCUGAGCAGGGUGACAGGCGCUGGCUGAUAGGAUCCCCCGGGCGGCAGCGGGUGAACAGAAUGGAGCAGCGGGGGCGGGCCCGGGGGACCAGUGGGGAGGCCUCUUUGGCCAACCCCCCUUCAGGGACCCCCGUGGUGCCGGCUGGGGUGGGGCAGCGCAGGUGCGGGAAGCGAUCCGCUCCUGGUAGAUUAUGAAGACAGAAGCGAGGGGGGCGCGGUUGUUGAGGAGUUGGAUGUGAGAUGCCAGGUAAAAGGGGAAACCAGGAAGGGUUCCUGGAAGCCAGGGGAAGAAGGCGCAUCCAGGAGGACGCCUGUGUGGAGCGAGGUGGGAGUCACCGGUGACCCGGAGGAUAGCAGCGCUGGGGGGCGGGGCAGCUGGAGGCGGUUUAACGAGAAGGCGAGCUGAGUGACGGCCGGCGAGCACCAAGCGGGAAACAAAAGUGGAGGCAGCUGGGAAGAAGGCCACCGAGAGAAGGUUGUUUUGUUUUUUCUUUUUACGAGGGGAGAAAUAACCCGCGUGCUUACAGGAUCCGGAAAGGACUUUGCAGAAAGGAAGAAUGGAUGGUGCCAGAGAGCUUGGUCUCAGACAGUGUCGGCCCUUCUGCACACACAUGCCUACCUGCCAAAGACCACUAGAUAUGAGGACACCGCCCAGCAGAGGAUCCCAAAUCUGGGUGGGUGGGAGCACGCCACUAAAGCUCCUGGGAAGGAAUUGGACAAGCAGCUUGGAGCCCCCUUGGAGCGGGAUCAGCCCCUCCUACCCUCAUCUGCAGCUGCUCUUGGGGCCUGCUGGAAGAUUGUCAUAAUAAACACA